RNAcentral lists this ribosomal RNA (274 nucleotides) under uncultured bacterium. Its description in RNAcentral is "partial 16S ribosomal RNA". It matches the Rfam family "Bacterial small subunit ribosomal RNA", at positions 333 to 624 of the family's 1533-position model. The record is from RNAcentral.
GAACUCCUACGGGGCGCAGCAGUGGGGAAUAUUGCACAAUGGGGGAAACCCUGAUGCUGCGACGCCGCGUGAGUGAAGAAGUAUUUCGGUAUGUAAAGCUCUACCAGCAGGGAAGAUAAUGACGGUACCUGACUAAGAAGCCUCGGCUAACUACGUGCCAGCAGCCGCGGUAAUACGUAGGGGGCAAGCGUUAUCCGGAUUUACUGGGUGUAAAGGGAGCGUAGACGGACUUGCAAGUCUGAUGUGAAAAUCCGGGGCCCAACCCCGGAACUGC